This 505-nucleotide ribosomal RNA is filed under the name uncultured bacterium. RNAcentral's name for it is "partial 16S ribosomal RNA". It matches the Rfam family "Bacterial small subunit ribosomal RNA", at positions 28 to 507 of the family's 1533-position model. The record is from RNAcentral.
GACGAACGCUCGCGGCGUGCCUAAUACAUGCAAGUAGAACGCACAGUUUAUACCGUAGCUUGCUACACCAUAGACUGUGAGUUGCGAACGGGUGAGUAACGCGUAGGUAACCUGCCUGGUAGCGGGGGAUAACUAUUGGAAACGAUAGCUAAUACCGCAUAAUAUUGAUUAUUGCAUGAUAAUUAAUUGAAAGUGGCAAUUGCACCACUACCAGUUGGCCCUGCGUUGUAUUAGCUAGUAGGUGAGGUAACGGCUCACCUAGGCGACGAUACAUAGCCGAACUGAGAGGGUGAGCGGCCACACUGAGACUGAGACACGGCCCAGACUCCUACGGGAGGCAGCAGUAGGGAAUCUGCGGCAAUGGACGAAAGUCUGACCGAGCAACGCCGAGGGAGUGAAGAAGGUUUUCGGAUCGUAAAGCUCUGUUGUAAGAGAAGAACGGGUGUGAGAGUGGAAAGUUCACACUGUGACGGUAACUUACCAGAAAGGGACGGCUAACUACGUG